Long non-coding RNA from Phalaenopsis equestris, 1331 nucleotides. RefSeq lists it as uncharacterized. NCBI's taxonomy places the organism in Eukaryota, Viridiplantae, Streptophyta, Magnoliopsida, Asparagales, Orchidaceae. The transcript has 2 exons. The record is from RefSeq and is a predicted model, not a curated record.
UUCUUCUUAGUUCUUUCCGUGCAAUGCUAGAGCGUCUCUUCGGAGACAUCCGAUAAAAUUGGAACGAUACAGAGAAGAUUAGCAUGGCCCCUGCGCAAGGAUGACACGCAUAAAUCGAGAAAUGGUCCAAAAUUUUUUGCCGAUCUCAGAUUCAAACCCUAGAUCUUAAUCAGAGUUCUUCGGCCAGCGAUUUGAGGACAGAUUUUUGACACACAGAAGAAAAAAAGCUAUUUUCCUUAGGCUGUUUUCUUUCUUCUUCCUAGCCCCCUGUUGUGUGCUCUUAUAAAGAAACAGGAAGGAGAAGAAGAAUGCUGAUCAGAUAAGUGGAAAAAUGAUAUUUCAUUCAUAACUAAAUGUUCCUGUUACAAGCUUUAUUUAUAAGUCUGUAUAACAGCAUACUUGUAAUAUUACAGAAGGAAAGAAUAUCAUUAUACAACCAUUGAUUGGUUAAUAUAAAAGCAACAUAUUGAACUAAACCUAAAUAUCUGAAUGCGGGAGAGGCGGAGCGAGGGCAUGGACACGAGCCAGAGAAGAAGCAGAGGAGAAGGUCAUUCAUGAUAGGAGCAAUCUCUGUAUCAUUGGAGCAGAUAAGUUCCUUCCAAUAUCCCCUGUCAAGCUAAGCAUAUGAUGAGAUGAUGGUUAGCUUGUUGGUAAGCUCACGAUGUCUGGUAUAUGUCUGCGGGUUGAUCCUGGGACAUAAUAUGCUGGAGGAGAAUGUGUUUAUGCUUGAUAUGAUCUAGUAUGAAGUGAUAAUCCACUUUGAUGUGCUUAGUUCGAGCAUGAAAUACUGGAUUAUGUGCAAGAGCGUAGCUGAAGUGCUUUCACUGUAUAAUUUGACGGGAUGAGAAGAAUACCCUGUAAGUUUUUCAAGUAGACGUCGUAGCCAUAAGAUUUUUGUAGUAGUUGUUGUAUGGGCUCUGUACCCGGCCUUUGUGGAGGAUCGAGCAACGGUGUUCUGCUUCUUAGAAGACCAAGAGAUUAGAUUAAAUCCUAGAUAAAUGCAAUAACCUGUUGUUGAUUUUCUGUCGUUGAUGUCGUUGGCCCAAUCAGCAUCAGUGUAUGCAUGUAAAUACAGUGGUCCGGGAAUGAAGGGUAACCCAUAGUUUAAUGUUUAUUUGAGGUAGCGAAGAAGCCUUUGGAACAAAUUGUAGUGGCGUGUGUUCGGUUUGUGCAUGUGUUGACUUAAUGAGUUUACAGUAAACAUGAUGUCUGGUCUUUUCAUAGUGAGGUAUUGUAAUAUACCAAUUAAUUGUCUGUAAUAUUGAGGAUUGUUAAUGGGUGAUAUGUUGGUGAUAUUUUUCAAAGGUUCAAGAGGUGAAGGGGUUAAUACA